RNAcentral lists this long non-coding RNA (885 nucleotides) under Ananas comosus (pineapple). Its description in RNAcentral is "long non-coding RNA (ACOM_LNC008842)". Lineage: Eukaryota; Viridiplantae; Streptophyta; Magnoliopsida; Poales; Bromeliaceae. The record is from RNAcentral.
UGAUUCUUUUGGUUCAUGAACUUAGUUUAUGGACUUGGUUCAUGAUUCAUGAACUUGGUUUAUUUGAUUCAUGAACUUGGUUUAUGGUUCAUGGGGUUUGGUUUAUGGUUCAUAAACUUGAUGUAUAGUACUUGGUUUUGGUUUAUGGUUCAUGAACUUGGUGUAUGGCUCAUUGGGUUUGGUUUAUGGUUCAUGAACUUGGUGUAUGGUUUAUGGGGUUAUGGUUCAUGGUUCAUGAACUUGGUUCAUGAGGUUGGGUAUGUGGGAUUUGGUUAAUGAACUUAGAUAUGGUUCAUAGGAUUUGGUUCAUGAACUUGGGUAUGGUUCAUAGGGUUUGGUUGGGUUUGGAUUUUAUUUGUGGAUUGGAUUUGGUUUUGGGUUCGGAUUUGGGUUUUAUUUGUUGACUUGGUUUGGGUUUUGGGUUUGGAUUUGGAUUUGUGGACUUGAUUUGGGUUUGGUUUGAUUUUAUUUGUGGACUGGGUUUGAUUUUGGGUUCGGAUUUGGAUUUUAUUUGUGCACUUGGUUUGGGUUGGGUUUAGAUUUUAUUUGUGAACUUGGUUUGGGUUUUGGGUUCGGAUUUGGGUUUUAUUUGUGAACUUGGUUUGGGUUGGGUUUUGAUUUAUUUGUGGACUGGAUUGGAUUAUGGUUUCGGAUUUGGGUUUUAUUUGUGGACUUGGUUUUCUUUUCAAUUCUAUUUCGGGUCCGAGGAAAUUCUUUUUUGAUUUUGCAAUUUGAUUUGGCAUCCGAAGAAAUUCCCUUUUGAUUUUGCAAUUUGAUUUGGAGUCUGAAAAAAUCCUCUUUUGAUUUUGUAAUUUGAUUUGGGGUCCGAAGAAAUCCUCUUUUGAUUUUGUAAUUUGAUUUGGGGUCCGAAGAAAUCCCCUUUUG